RNAcentral lists this transfer RNA (65 nucleotides) under Jonas distinctus. RNAcentral's name for it is "tRNA-Gly". The record is from RNAcentral. Lineage: Eukaryota; Metazoa; Arthropoda; Malacostraca; Decapoda; Corystidae.
AAUUUUUUAAUAUAAAAAGUAUAUUUGGCUUCCAACCAGAAGGUCUAAAAAUUUUAGAAAAAUUA